This 427-nucleotide ribosomal RNA is filed under the name uncultured bacterium. RNAcentral's name for it is "bacterial SSU rRNA". It matches the Rfam family "Bacterial small subunit ribosomal RNA", at positions 355 to 774 of the family's 1533-position model. The record is from RNAcentral.
UGGGGAAUUUUGGACAAUGGGGGCAACCCUGAUCCAGCCAUGCCGCGUGAGUGAAGAAGGCCUUCGGGUUGUAAAGCUCUUUCGGCGGGGAAGAAAUGGCAACGGCUAAUAUCCGUUGUUGAUGACGGUACCCGCAUAAGAAGCACCGGCUAACUACGUGCCAGCAGCCGCGGUAAUACGUAGGGUGCGAGCGUUAAUCGGAAUUACUGGGCGUAAAGCGUGCGCAGGCGGUUUCGUAAGACAGACGUGAAAUCCCCGGGCUCAACCUGGGAACUGCGUUUGUGACUGCGAGGCUAGAGUACGGCAGAGGGUGGUAGAAUUCCACGUGUAGCAGUGAAAUGCGUAGAGAUGUGGAGGAAUACCGAUGGCGAAGGCAGCCCCCUGGGUUAGUACUGACGCUCAUGCACGAAAGCGUGGGGAGCAAACA